This 523-nucleotide ribosomal RNA is filed under the name uncultured Pseudomonadota bacterium. RNAcentral describes it as "bacterial SSU rRNA". It matches the Rfam family "Bacterial small subunit ribosomal RNA", at positions 8 to 522 of the family's 1533-position model. The record is from RNAcentral. Lineage: Bacteria; Pseudomonadati; Pseudomonadota.
AGAGUUUGAUCAUGGCUCAGAUUGAACGUUGGCGGCAGGCCUAAAACAUGCAAGUCGAACGGUAACAGCGGAAGCUUGCUUCCGGCUGACGAGUGGCGGACGGGUGAGUAACACGUAGGAAUCUACCUAGUAGUGGGGGACAACCCGGGGAAACCCGGGCUAAUACCGCAUACGCUCUACGGAGGAAAGCAGGGGAUCUUCGGACCUUGCGCUAUUGGAGGAGCCUGCGUCGGAUUAGCUAGUUGGUGGGGUAAAGGCCUACCAAGGCGACGAUCCGUAGCUGGUCUGAGAGGACGAUCAGCCACACUGGAACUGAGACACGGUCCAGACUCCUACGGGAGGCAGCAGUUAGGAAUCUUGGGCAAUGGGCGCAAGCCUGACCCAGCCAUGCCGCGUGUGUGAAGAAGGCCUUCGGGUUGUAAAGCACUUUCAGCGGUGAAGAAAAGCUCAGGGUUAAUACCCUUGAGUCUUGACGUUAACCACAGAAGAAGCACCGGCCAACUCCGUGCCAGCAGCCGCGGUA